UACGAAGGGGGCUAGCGUUGUUCGGAAUCACUGGGCGUAAAGCGCAUGCAGGCGGAUUGUUAAGUCGGGGGUGAAAUCCCGAGGCUCAACCUCGGAACUGCCUUCGAUACUGGCAAUCUUGAGUCCGGGAGAGGUGAGUGGAACUGCGAGUGUAGAGGUGAAAUUCGUAGAUAUUCGGAAGAACACCAGUGGCGAAGGCGACUCGCUGGACAAGUAUUGACGCUGAGGUGCGAAAGCGUGGGGAGCAAACAGG
Molecule: ribosomal RNA, 253 nt
Filed under: uncultured bacterium
Lineage: Bacteria
Description: partial 16S ribosomal RNA
Rfam family: Bacterial small subunit ribosomal RNA
Source: RNAcentral